CAGAAAAUAGUUUAAGUAAAAUUCUGGCUUUGGGAGUCAGGGAUAGAGAUUAAAAUUCUUUUUUUCUGA
Molecule: non-coding RNA, 69 nt
Organism: Nothobranchius furzeri (turquoise killifish)
Lineage: Eukaryota; Metazoa; Chordata; Actinopteri; Cyprinodontiformes; Nothobranchiidae
Source: Ensembl